This is a long non-coding RNA of Brassica napus (rape), 2407 nucleotides long. RefSeq lists it as uncharacterized. The transcript is spliced from 5 exons. The record is from RefSeq and is a predicted model, not a curated record. NCBI's taxonomy places the organism in Eukaryota, Viridiplantae, Streptophyta, Magnoliopsida, Brassicales, Brassicaceae.
ACGUGUCUCUCUUUCCCUUUCUUCGUCUCUUUCUCUCUCUCCUGAAUCCUCGACUCCGCCUUCUUCUCUUCUCGAUGAUGAAUGGAAUCAGUGGAUAGUUUCUCUGGUGUUUUUUUUUCCUGUGUUGUAGUCUCCCAUUUAGGAUCUCAAUCAUCUGUUGUAGCCUCGGUAUGCUCAUGGGAUUGCAGAGGCCAUUCUGGGAACCACCAAUCUCUCAGUUCCCUUAAAGUAGCAGAUGAGAUAACAAUAAUCAGAUUGUUAGCAAUUAUAGUUAUGAAGAAGAAGAAGAUGAAGCUGAGGCCUUGAGUGAUGCGAUUGAAGAGUUUUCAAUGGCUUCUAAGAAGGUUGUUAGGAUCAAAGACAUCUUGCUCGACAAAGACAUCGAGCCACACUCAGUGAUACUUGAUUAUCUAAGGAAGCUAAAGUUGAUGUCUUUGAAUGUGGAUAUUCUCAAGAGUACUGAGAUAGGAAAGGCUGUUAAUGGUCUGACGAAACAUGGUUCUGAUAAAGAUGAACUUGGAAUUUAAAAGUGAACUUGGCUGAGGCAUCACCUGCGUUGAGGAAGCCAGUGUUCACCAAGGUCAGUGAGCUGAGACCAGGAACCAAUGGUCUCUCACUUAAUCAGCACGAAGAUGGUGAUGCAGAGAGGAGGAGGUCGUCGUCCCAGUGGUUCUCAGGCUCGUCAGAUGCAGAUUGCUGAAUGUCUUGUUGGUGAUAGUAGCUUGACAAAAUGAGUUCUUGCUCUACGUCGGAUUUGGCUUCUUCAAGCAUCUUGACCCAGACAUCACCACAGUUCAGAGAGGAUCUUUUAAGGAGGAGACAAGAUGAGAUUGGUCAAGUGUUGGUUCUGCUCUUCUACGAUAUAUCCAGGACAUGGUAUUCAGUUUGUCCACAGCGAUGCUAAGGUACAUCAACUUUUCCAAGAAUCAGACUAGUUUGUAUUUUUGGUUUAACCUUUUGGCUUGCGGACACACAUAGAUGCUCUGUUCAUCACUUUCUUUAAUUAUAUAUAUAUAUAUAUAUAUGUGAAUGUCUCAUUGUUUCAUGUUUGUAAUUUGACUCUCUCUAGCUUUGAUGUCCAUCUCUAGCUUUGAAUUCUCUGUUGUGAGAUAGAAAAAAUAAGAUAUAUUAUUUGGCAAGAAAUCAUUUGCUCAAGUCUUUUGGGAAUAAUCUACUUCUAAGUCAUGCUUUCAACACUCAAUUAAGCUCUAUACGUUAGCUACCUUCGAUUAUAUGUAUUUAACUGUCUAUCCCUAGUUUUAAUUGUCUAUCCCAAGUUUUGAUGUCUAUCUUUUGAGUUUGAGAAGAAGAGAACCCUUCAUAUUUUUUUUUUAAGAACCCAUAGAUAAAAGACUUGCAAUGGACCAUACAAAUAUACAUGUCUUUUAACUAAGUCUCUUAAACCUACUUUUCCAACUAAAAAUUAUUAAAAAAUGAUUAAGAACCUCUAAAUGAGUAUGUGGGAUAAUGAUGCUCUCAGAUCAAACAUCAGACCUUUUGAUGUGCCUCUUUCGGUUGCUUUCUAGCUUUACCAAUGCUCGUUGAGACCUAUUCUCUUUCCGCUUUCAGACAAGUAAUUCUCUCGGUCCCACCCAGAAAGAGACGGCUUAGCAAAAAAAAAAAGUUAGCGUCCCUGCACGAGCCUUUAUUAGUCUUGUACUGUUUUGCGGGCUCCACUGACACGUGGCGGUGCGCGAUUGGUUCGUUUUAAUAUUUGUUUUUUUUUAAAUCAGACAAAAAACUAAAAAAAAUUAAAAAAAAAUAAACAUCUCAUUUGGGGUGCUAGAGUUAAUGGUGCUUUUAUAGGUCUCCCGUGAGUAUAAGGAGUAUAUUUACUUAAAGUUAAUUUAGAAUUUUUUUUCUUUUCUAAUGUAAAUAUUUAUGGAUUCUGAUGUCUUGUUUGCAACUUGUUUACUAGCAUAUUAUCUACAGAAUCAACCGACAAAUUCUUGGUCGAGAAGUAAGUUAUAUUUGUGUAUAUAUUAUAUAUUUUAAAAUAAAUUGCUUAACACUAAUAUAUGUUUGAGUGUAUGCGUAUAAUUUUUUAACAGGUACCCCUUUAUGGACCAACGAUACUUACUCACGAUGAGGCCGUAGGUAUAUUAGAGUGGCCCCAUGUGUCAUUCAACUUUAUUGAAGGUGAUGAGGAUGCUUCUUUAACCAUCCCUCCACAUAUUGAAGUUGACGAGAACAUUAUUGGUGGGACGAAGAGAGAGAGAAAAAAAGUCUCUUGUUUUAUUUUAUUUUUUUUUUUUUCUGGUCGUUGGAGAAUGAGAGAUGGUCUUUAAUUAGGGUUUUUCCCUUCUUUUUUUUCUUCGGUUUCCACCCCCUGGGAUGCCCUAAGGGAUUCUUUAACCAUCCCUCCACAGAAAUAUGUAAUUGCUGAUGCGGAUGGACGAUACAUCUC